GGGGACGUGGCGGAAUUGGUAGACGCACUGGAUUUAGGUUCCAGCGCCGAGAGGUGUGAGAGUUCGAGUCUCUCCGUCCCCA
Molecule: transfer RNA, 82 nt
Filed under: Moraxella catarrhalis
Lineage: Bacteria; Pseudomonadati; Pseudomonadota; Gammaproteobacteria; Moraxellales; Moraxellaceae
Also listed under: 3 other names
Description: tRNA-Leu
Rfam family: tRNA
About the family: Transfer RNA (tRNA) molecules are approximately 80 nucleotides in length.
Source: RNAcentral